UCCUGGCUCAGGAUGAACGCUAGCGACAGGCUUAACACAUGCAAGUCGAGGGGCAGCGGGGGAGUAGCAAUACUCCCGCCGGCGACCGGCGCACGGGUGAGUAACACGUAUGAAACCUGCCCGUAGCAGGGGGAUAAGCGGAAGAAAUUCCGUCUAAUACCGCGUAACAACCCGAGGAGGCAUCUCCUCGGGUUUAAAGGAGGCGAUUCCGGCUACGGAUGGUCAUGCGUCGCAUUAGCUAGUUGGCGGGGUAACGGCCCACCAAGGCGACGAUGCGUAGGGGUUCUGAGAGGAAGGUCCCCCACACUGGUACUGAGACACGGACCAGACUCCUACGGGAGGCAGCAGUGAGGAAUAUUGGUCAAUGGCCGCAGGGCUGAACCAGCCAAGUCGCGUGAGGGAUGACGGUCCUAUGGAUUGUAAACCUCUUUUGUCAGGGAGCAAAGGACGCCACGUGUGGUGUUUUGCGAGUACCUGAAGAAAAAGCAUCGGCUAACUCCGUGC
Molecule: ribosomal RNA, 504 nt
Filed under: uncultured bacterium
Lineage: Bacteria
Description: bacterial SSU rRNA
Rfam family: Bacterial small subunit ribosomal RNA
Source: RNAcentral